GCAAGUCGAGGGGUAUGUGGUGCUUGCAUCACAGAGACCGGCGCACGGGUGCGUAACGCGUAUGCAAUCUACCUUUUACUAAGGGAUAGCCCAGAGAAAUUUGGAUUAAUACCUUAUAGUAUGACGACCUCACCUGAGGAUGUUAUUAAAGUUACAACGGUAAAAGAUGUGCAUGCGUCCCAUUAGCUAGUUGGUAUGGUAACGGCAUACCAAGGCUACGAUGGGUAGGGGUCCUGAGAGGGAGAUC
This 247-nucleotide ribosomal RNA is filed under the name uncultured bacterium. Its description in RNAcentral is "partial 16S ribosomal RNA". It matches the Rfam family "Bacterial small subunit ribosomal RNA", at positions 57 to 305 of the family's 1533-position model. The record is from RNAcentral.